UACCGGAUAAAAAAGCUACUUUUCGCAUGAAAGAAAGUUUUAAAAAAGGCGGCGUAAGCUGUCGCUAAAGGAUGGACCUGCGAUGCAUUAGCUAGUUGGUAAGGUAACGGCUUACCAAGGCGAUGAUGCAUAGCCGAGUUGAGAGACUGAUCGGCCACAUUGGGACUGAGACACGGCCCAAACUCCUACGGGAGGCAGCAGUAGGGAAUUUUCCACAAUGGACGCAAGUCUGAUGGAGCAACGCCGCGUGAGUGAAGAAGGUUUUCGGAUCGUAAAGCUCUGUUGUUGGUGAAGAAGGAUAGAGGUAGUAACUGGCCUUUAUUUGACGGUAAUCAACCAGAAAGUCACGGCUAACUACGUGCCAGCAGCCGCGGUAAAU
RNAcentral lists this ribosomal RNA (379 nucleotides) under uncultured Lactobacillus sp. RNAcentral's name for it is "bacterial SSU rRNA". It matches the Rfam family "Bacterial small subunit ribosomal RNA", at positions 167 to 525 of the family's 1533-position model. Lineage: Bacteria; Bacillati; Bacillota; Bacilli; Lactobacillales; Lactobacillaceae. The record is from RNAcentral.